RNAcentral lists this long non-coding RNA (347 nucleotides) under Solanum tuberosum (potato). RNAcentral's name for it is "long non-coding RNA (STUB_LNC005253)". Lineage: Eukaryota; Viridiplantae; Streptophyta; Magnoliopsida; Solanales; Solanaceae. The record is from RNAcentral.
UUCGGUUAUCAUAUUUGUUGUUGUUACUAUUUGUUUCUCCAAUACUUUCUAUUUAAGCCAAUGAUCUAUUGUAAAUAGUUGUUUUAUCUUCAUAAAGUAAAGGUAUUGAUCGGUUCCCACAUGUAAGAUUAUAUUGGUUAUGUUGUUGUUUUGAUUUGAACUUGAAACAUCAUAAUUAUAAUCUCACUUCUUUGACCACUAAAUACAAGUCCAUAAAUGAAAUUCUUUCAACGUCUGUUAGAAUUCUCGUGUUCAAAUUCACCUUUUGAGUCCUAAAAAGGAAAUAGUCGAGUAAGUAAAUAUGAAAUACAUGAUGGGAUAGUAGGAUCCAUCUAUUUUUAUUGAGA